CGGGGCGUAGCGCAGCUUGGUAGCGUACUACUUUGGGGUAGUAGGGGUCGUGGGUUCAAAUCCCGCCGCUCCGA
RNAcentral lists this transfer RNA (74 nucleotides) under Cyanobacteria bacterium UBA11367. Its description in RNAcentral is "tRNA-Pro". It matches the Rfam family "tRNA". Rfam says of the family: Transfer RNA (tRNA) molecules are approximately 80 nucleotides in length. Their secondary structure includes four short double-helical elements and three loops (D, anti-codon, and T loops). Further hydrogen bonds mediate the characteristic L-shaped molecular structure. tRNAs have two regions of fundamental functional importance: the anti-codon, which is responsible for specific mRNA codon recognition, and the 3' end, to which the tRNAs corresponding amino acid is attached (by aminoacyl-tRNA synthetases). tRNAs cope with the degeneracy of the genetic code in two manners: having more than one tRNA (with a specific anti-codon) for a particular amino acid; and 'wobble' base-pairing, i.e. permitting non-standard base-pairing at the 3rd anti-codon position. RNAcentral also lists the same sequence under 4 other names. The record is from RNAcentral. Lineage: Bacteria; Bacillati; Cyanobacteriota.